Molecule: ribosomal RNA, 494 nt
Filed under: uncultured bacterium
Lineage: Bacteria
Description: partial 16S ribosomal RNA
Rfam family: Bacterial small subunit ribosomal RNA
Source: RNAcentral
GACGAACGCUGGCGGCGUGCUUAACACAUGCAAGUCGAACGGUGAAGCGCCUUCAUCUUUGGUGGGCGUGGAUGAGUGGCGAACGGGUGAGUAACACGUGAGUAACCUACUCCCUUCUUCUGGAUAACCGCAUGAAAGUGUGGCUAAUACGGCAUAUUCUGUAUCUGUCGCAUGAUGGGUCUGGGAAAGAUAUUGUUUCGGUGGGGGAUGGGCUCGCGGCCUAUCGGCUUGGUGGUGGGGUGAUGGCCUAGCGAGGCGAUGACGGGUAGCCGGCAUGAGAGGGUGGACGGUCACGGUGGGACUGAGAGGCGGCGCAGACUCCGACAGGCGGCAGCAGUGGGGAAUAUAGCACGAGGGGCGGAAUGAUGAAGCAGCGCCGCCGGGGGGGGGAUGGAGGCCUGCUGGUAGAGAACCUCUGUCGGGAGUGAAGCAGGCCUGCCUCGUUUGUGGGUGGGUUGACGGUAGCUGGAGAAGAAGCGCCGGCUAACUACGUG